UGCCUUUAUGUGUUGCCCGUUCAUUAUCAUCUAGAGUGAAUGUGGUGUCAAAUAAGGCGCACAACAAUUUUUGCAGCAGCCUGAGUUAAUGGAAUAUAUUGUAUAUUUCUUUUUAAGUGCUGUGGCAAGAACACGA
Molecule: small nucleolar RNA, 136 nt
Organism: Astyanax mexicanus (Mexican tetra)
Lineage: Eukaryota; Metazoa; Chordata; Actinopteri; Characiformes; Acestrorhamphidae
Source: Ensembl